Molecule: ribosomal RNA, 274 nt
Filed under: uncultured bacterium
Lineage: Bacteria
Description: partial 16S ribosomal RNA
Rfam family: Bacterial small subunit ribosomal RNA
Source: RNAcentral
AUACAGAGGGUGCGAGCGUUAAUCGGAAUUACUGGGCGUAAAGCGCGCGUAGGCGGCUUAUUAAGUCAGAUGUGAAAUCCCCGGGCUCAACCUGGGAACUGCAUCUGAUACUGGUAAGCUAGAGUUUUGGAGAGGGAAGUAGAAUUUCAGGUGUAGCGGUGGAAUGCAUAGAGAUCUGAAGGAAUACCAGUGGCGAAGGCGACUUCCUGGCCAAAAACUGACGCUGAGGUGCGAAAGCGUGGGUAGCAAACGGGAUUAGAUACCCCAGUAGUCC